UAAUUUUCUUACCCGACAUCUUCCUCCUCUCCACUGCCGCCUCUCCCUCUCCCUCCCGCGCCGCCUCCUCCAUCUCCUUCUCUUCCACACGAUCGACGCCGACACCCCUCUCAUCGCCGACACUGAUCCGUCCUCUUCGGUCACGAGCGAGAAGGGGUCCCUCUGCAAGUUUCCUCGCGUCGUCGCAGACGCCGCAAGACCCAAUUUUGGCCUUCCCUCUGCUCUAGCUUGGAUCCGCCGACUUCAUCCUUCCUGCUCCCUCUCGCGAGUUCCCGAGCCACAGUUGCCGGUCUCUCCUCAUCAUGCGAGAGCCACAGUCGCCGACACCCCUCUUCCCAGCGUCGGUCGUCUUCUCUUCUUCUCCCCCGAGCUGCACGGCGCCGACACUUCCUCCCCUCAGCCCGAGCAGCGGCGAUUUCCUUUUCCCGGAGCUCUCUGCGUGAAGCCAAGUCACCGCCGCUCGCCACCCAUCGCCAUCGCCGGUGAAGCCCCACAGCAGCGGCCGACCCCACAACUUCAAGGUUGGCCAAUCAUAGUGCCCUAACCAUAGUCGUUCCGUUCUCUAGCUUCGAUUAUCAAGCUAAGUUUCCUUUCGAACAGUUGAGCGUCAACAGAAGCGCUGGUUUUGGGUUAGGUCUUGACUUAGUGCUGAUUUGGAGUGUUGUUUGGGAAGACAUCAGCUACCUUGCUGCCACCUUGGAGGGUUAUUGUCUUGGAGGAUCGGGGAUUUCGUUUAGUUUCAGCCACAACACCAUCGAUAACUAGUAGCUGGCUCCAUUAGUGACUAGUUCGAGUUGUGCCACAUCGAUCGCUGAAGAAGAAGAGGACUUUGAUUCGAGAUGAACGUCACGAUGUGGGAUUGUUUGGCAUGAUGGACAGUUAAAGACGAGUACUUCUUGCUUUGUUUCUUUUAGUACUUUGAGCUUUGUGCAUGAACUAUUUUGGAUAAGAAACUGAUUUUUUUUAUCUUAA
Long non-coding RNA from Zingiber officinale, 972 nucleotides. RefSeq lists it as uncharacterized. Lineage: Eukaryota; Viridiplantae; Streptophyta; Magnoliopsida; Zingiberales; Zingiberaceae. The record is from RefSeq and is a predicted model, not a curated record. The transcript is spliced from 4 exons.